This 434-nucleotide ribosomal RNA is filed under the name uncultured Lachnospiraceae bacterium. Its description in RNAcentral is "partial 16S ribosomal RNA". It matches the Rfam family "Bacterial small subunit ribosomal RNA", at positions 341 to 792 of the family's 1533-position model. The record is from RNAcentral. Lineage: Bacteria; Bacillati; Bacillota; Clostridia; Lachnospirales; Lachnospiraceae.
ACGGAAGGCAGCAGUGGGGAAUAUUGCACAAUGGGGGAAACCCUGAUGCAGCGACGCCGCGUGAGUGAAGAAGUUAUUCGUAAUGUAAAGCUCUAUCAGCAGGGAAGAAAAUGACGGUACCUGACUAAGAAGCCCCGGCUAACUACGUGCCAGCAGCCGCGGUAAUACGUAGGGGGCAAGCGUUAUCCGGAUUUACUGGGUGUAAAGGGAACGUAGACGGUCUGGCAAGUCUGAUGUGAAAGGCAGGGGCUCAACUCCUGGACUGCAUUGGAAACUGUCAGUCUUGAGUGUCGGAGAGGUAAGCGGAAUUCCUAGUGUAGCGGUGAAAUGCGUAGAUAUUAGGAGGAACACCAGUGGCGAAGGCGGCUUACUGGACGAUAACUGACGUUGAGGCUCGAAAGCGUGGGGAGCAAACAGGAUUAGAUACCCUGGUA